UGCAGUUUUAGAGGCAAUCUCCCCUUCCUUCUUUAGCGCCUGACUCUGUGUUCUUUUUUUUCCCUUUUCUCUUUUAUCAAGCUUGUUUUCAAAUCAUUCCCUCUCCUCUUCCCUUUUCAGAUUUGUUUAUGAUAAUUUUGCAGCAAUUAAUCACCCCAAGGAGUAAUGAAGAGGUGAGUUUUGGAAAUAGUGAUGAUGCGAAGAUGAUGGAUAUUGAGGAAGUAGAAGUUGUGGAUGGCCAGGCAUGUUUUAGGUACUCUCAAUAGCGGGAUUGUCUACUUCUCUUGAUGUUCGUGUAUCGCUCUAUGAUGAGAUUAUGGCCAUUUUUGAUAAAUAGUUUGAUAUAACGAUUAUAGAUAUUUUAUUCGUCGAAUAUCAAUAUGUAAUACAUUUGAACAUCUUAUUUACGAGUAAUAUCUUACGUCA
Molecule: long non-coding RNA, 426 nt
Organism: Spinacia oleracea (spinach)
Lineage: Eukaryota; Viridiplantae; Streptophyta; Magnoliopsida; Caryophyllales; Amaranthaceae
Exons: 3
Source: RefSeq, a predicted model, not a curated record